This 466-nucleotide ribosomal RNA is filed under the name uncultured bacterium. Its description in RNAcentral is "partial 16S ribosomal RNA". It matches the Rfam family "Bacterial small subunit ribosomal RNA", at positions 28 to 506 of the family's 1533-position model. The record is from RNAcentral.
GAUGAACGCUGACAGAAUGCUUAACACAUGCAAGUCAACUUGAAUUUGGGUUUUUAACUUAGGUUUGGGUGGCGGACGGGUGAGUAACGCGUAAAGAACUUGCCUCACAGCUAGGGACAACAUUUGGAAACGAAUGCUAAUACCUAAUAUUAUGAUAAUAGGGCAUCCUAUAAUUAUGAAAGCUAUAAGCGCUGUGAGAGAGCUUUGCGUCCCAUUAGCUAGUUGGAGAGGUAACGGCUCACCAAGGCGAUGAUGGGUAGCCGGCCUGAGAGGGUGAUCGGCCACAAGGGGACUGAGACACGGCCCUUACUCCUACGGGAGGCAGCAGUGGGGAAUAUUGGACAAUGGACCGAGAGUCUGAUCCAGCAAUGCUGUGUGCACGAUGAAGUUUUUCGGAAUGUAAAGUGCUUUCAGUUGGGAAGAAACAAAUGACGGUACCAACAGAAGAAGUGACGGCUAAAUACGU